UGCACGUGGUUUCCAAGAUGGCCGAUUUGUGGCUUUGUUGUAUAACCACCUUAACCACCACUUUCGGCAGCGUUCACCAACACAAGCCCGAAAAAAAAGAGCUAAAAGGAGCGGAACGACGCGGGAUCAACUCUCUGAUAGUGGUCCGAUCACUUUUACUCCCGGAGUGCAAAAGAAUUUGUGAAGUGUACUGUAUCAUCGGAAUUUUGUGAAAACGCCAUCGGCCGUCACCAUCGCUGUGAAGAAAUCUUCGAACCACGUUUUGGUCCCGUCGUCGCCGCCAUCGUAGCAGGCAUCCAAAGCGUCAGCGUCAUCGUUGCAAGCACCCAAAGCGUCAGCGUCAUCGGCGUGCCAAGCUUGGCCCGGUGGACGCGUAGGUUUGUCAGGCACAGUCAGCACGAAGGCGGGCUAAAUAUCAAACUGUUUUGGAAACGACACCUCCCCCCCUUCCCGGCGUGCCCUCUUCGGCCUUCGGACAUCACGAUCACUUCAAGGAACCAUCACCCAGUGACCACCGGCGUGCCUCUCUUGGCCCGGUAUCUCCGUACCUUUGUCAUCCCCGUCAUCGAGGUCCGACGGAACCGCUAUUGCGCAAGAAUGUUACUCCACCGGAGGGUACGUGCCCGGUCGGAAACGAGCCUCGGGAGCGAUGAGGUGCAUCUUCACAAUGCUUCGUAAAACUACCGGUAUGUGAAUCCUACUGUUUCCUAACCAGACCAUUCAUAAAAAUGAAAUUAUAAUGAACUAAUGAUUCGAUAAAAUUGAAUACAGUGCGUAAUGUAAAUUAA
This is a long non-coding RNA of Armigeres subalbatus, 788 nucleotides long. RefSeq lists it as uncharacterized. NCBI's taxonomy places the organism in Eukaryota, Metazoa, Arthropoda, Insecta, Diptera, Culicidae. The transcript is spliced from 2 exons. The record is from RefSeq and is a predicted model, not a curated record.